UUUCCGUAGGUGAACCUGCGGAAGGAUCAUUAUCAUAUAACCCAGGAACGAGGCCUCACGCUAACCCUAAAGGUCGAGCACAACCGAUUGCCCCCACACACAUAUAUCUCACCCCUAUCUUCAGCACAGCGGGGGUUUCCCUUUGUUUUUUUCGGUUGUGUGCUUACGUGGUCAAAGAAAGUUUGUAUGAAGAGUUGAAUGUUUUUUUUUUUUUACUAAGACACAAUCAUUAAAACUUGCAACAACGGAUCUCUUAGCUCUCGCAACGGUGAAGAACGG
Molecule: unclassified non-coding RNA, 279 nt
Filed under: plant metagenome
Description: partial contains small subunit ribosomal RNA, internal transcribed spacer 1, and 5.8S ribosomal RNA
Source: RNAcentral